AUAUUGGACAAUGGGCGCAAGCCUGAUCCAGCCAUGCCGCGUGAGUGAUGAAGGCCUUAGGGUUGUAAAGCUCUUUCACCGGUGAAGAUAAUGACGGUAACCGGAGAAGAAGCCCCGGCUAACUUCGUGCCAGCAGCCGCGGUAAUACGAAGGGGGCUAGCGUUGUUCGGAAUUACUGGGCGUAAAGCGAGUGUAGGUGGUUGUCAUAGUCAGGUGUGAAAGCCUUGAGCUCAACUCAAGAAAUGCACUUGAUACUGGGCGACUAGAGGACCGGAGAGGAUAGUGGAAUUCCCAGUGUAGUGGUGAAAUACGUAGAGAUUGGGAAGAACACCAGUGGCGAAGGCGGCUAUCUGGACGGUUUCUGACACUAAGACUCGAAAGCGUGGGGAGCAAACAGG
Molecule: ribosomal RNA, 398 nt
Filed under: uncultured bacterium
Lineage: Bacteria
Description: bacterial SSU rRNA
Rfam family: Bacterial small subunit ribosomal RNA
Source: RNAcentral